CCUACGGGAGGCAGCAGUGGGGAAUAUUGCACAAUGGACGAAAGUCUGAUGCAGCGACGCCGCGUGAGUGAUGAAGGCCUUCGGGUUGUAAAGCUCUGUUCUCAGGGAAUAAAAAAAUGAAUGUACCUGAGAAGAAAGGACCGGCUAACUUCGUGCCAGCAGCCGCGGUAAU
Molecule: ribosomal RNA, 172 nt
Filed under: uncultured Bradyrhizobiaceae bacterium
Lineage: Bacteria; Pseudomonadati; Pseudomonadota; Alphaproteobacteria; Hyphomicrobiales; Nitrobacteraceae
Description: partial 16S ribosomal RNA
Rfam family: Bacterial small subunit ribosomal RNA
Source: RNAcentral